This 477-nucleotide ribosomal RNA is filed under the name uncultured bacterium. RNAcentral's name for it is "partial 16S ribosomal RNA". It matches the Rfam family "Bacterial small subunit ribosomal RNA", at positions 356 to 822 of the family's 1533-position model. The record is from RNAcentral.
UGGGAAUAUUGGCACAAUGGGCGCAAGCCUGAUGCCAGCCAUGCCGCGUGUGUGAAGAAGGCCUUCGGGUUGUAAAGCACUUUCAGCGAGGAGGAAGGUGGUGAACUUAAUACGUUCAUCAAUUGACGUUACUCGCAGAAGAAGCACCGGCUAACUCCGUGCCAGCAGCCGCGGUAAUACGGAGGGUGCAAGCGUUAAUCGGAAUUACUGGGCGUAAAGCGCACGCAGGCGGUUUGUUAAGUCAGAUGUGAAAUCCCCGGGCUCAACCUGGGAACUGCAUUUGAAACUGGCAAGCUAGAGUCUCGUAGAGGGGGGUAGAAUUCCAGGUGUAGCGGUGAAAUGCGUAGAGAUCUGGAGGAAUACCGGUGGCGAAGGCGGCCCCCCUGGACGAAGACUGACGCUCAGGUGCGAAAGCGUGGGGAGCAAACAGAUUAGAUACCCUGGUAGUCCACGCUGUAAAACGAUGUCGAUUUUGGA